UGCAAGUCGAGCGGGCGUAGCAAUACGUCAGCGGCAGACGGGUGAGUAACGCGUGGGAAUCUACCCAUCUCUACGGAACAACUCCGGGAAACUGGAGCUAAUACCGUAUACGUCCUUAUGGAGAAAGAUUUAUCGGAGAUGGAUGAGCCCGCGUUGGAUUAGCUAGUUGGUGGGGUAAUGGCCUACCAAGGCGACGAUCCAUAGCUGGUCUGAGAGGAUGAUCAGCCACACUGGGACUGAGACACGGCCCAGACUCCUACGGGAGGCAGCAGUGGGGAAUCUUAGACAAUGGGCGCAAGCCUGAUCUAGCCAUGCCGCGUGGGUGAUGAAGGCCUUAGGGUCGUAAAGCCCUUUCGCCGGGGAAGAUAAUGACGGUACCCGGUAAAGAAACCCCGGCUAACUCCGUGCCAGCAGCCGCGGUAAU
Molecule: ribosomal RNA, 424 nt
Filed under: uncultured bacterium
Lineage: Bacteria
Description: bacterial SSU rRNA
Rfam family: Bacterial small subunit ribosomal RNA
Source: RNAcentral